RNAcentral lists this transfer RNA (70 nucleotides) under Pseudochirulus canescens (Lowland ringtail). Its description in RNAcentral is "tRNA-Ala". It matches the Rfam family "tRNA". From Rfam's summary of the family: Transfer RNA (tRNA) molecules are approximately 80 nucleotides in length. Lineage: Eukaryota; Metazoa; Chordata; Mammalia; Diprotodontia; Pseudocheiridae. The record is from RNAcentral.
UGAGGGUUUAGCUUAAUUAAAGCGUCCGAUUUGCGUUCGGGUGAUGCAAGAUAGAGUCUUGUAAUUCUUA